UUAGGGCAGUAACUGGGGAACCACAAGAGAUAAGGCAGAAACCCAGGGUGAGGAGGCCGGGCUAUGAGCCCCCCGAAGAUGGAUGUAGACUCGGGAAGAGGGUGAGCUGUGUGGAGGACGCUUCCUUUAAAAGAAGCAGUGACUGGGGAAUUCCCGUCGUGGCGCAGUGGUUAAUGAAUCCGACUAGGAACCACGAGGUUGCGGGUUCGAUCCCUGGCCUCGCUCAUGGGUUCGGGAUCUGGCGUUGCGGUGAGCUGUGGUGUAGGUCACAGACACGCUCGGAUCCCGUGUUGCUGUGGCUCUGGCGUAGGCCAGUGGCUACAGCUCCGAUUCGACCCCUAGCCUGGGAACCUCCAUAUGCCGCGGGAGCGGCCCUAGAAAAAGCAAAAAGACAAAAAAAAAAAAAAAAACAAAAAAAAAAAAAAAAGGAAGCAGUGAAGCAGUGACCAUGGUGGCAGGAACGCAGGCAGGACAAGGCUGGCAGGGAUGGGUCCUUCAGAGAAGAAAUACUUCCUUCUCAUUUUUCAAUGUCUCCUCCAUCUCCUGCUGCGUCCCUGCCACGGCUGGAACCGAAGGGAAGCCAGAGAGCCCAGGAGCCCUGUUGAUACGGUCAGCAGAGGUCACCGCUCAGAGCAGAAGCCAACGGGAGAGGUGGAGGGUGACCUGAAGUGGAGAAGAAGCAUCGCACUCGCGGUGGGGCUGGGGGCGCCACAAAGGAGACUGAGCAUGGCUUUAAAAAGACUGGAACAGGCAGGAAGCAUGAUCAUCAGAGCCCUACGUAGCCCUAUGAACUGGGUUGCUGCUGUUUAACUCUGCAUUACUUUUCUAAGGACUUGACAUGUAUUCAGCUGUUAAAUCCUCCCUGCUGCCUCCUAAGUCAGGCCCUGUUAGCCUCACCGAGCAGGAAGCUGGGACACAGAAAGGUUACCGGAGGGGCCUAAGGUGACAGCGAGUUAACAGAAAGCAGAGGUUAAGCUUGGCCAGCUGCCCCCAGGACUGCACAGAGCUCCUGCUUUACUGUCUCGGAAGGAGCCCCCUGAGGGAAGGUGGGCUGCAGGCUGAGGGAAGAGCAAAUGAACGAGAGAGAUGAAAGUGCCAGGCGGGUUCAGAAAACACCAAGUGGGGGGGUGUGGCGGUCCCCCCAGACGCAUCACACCAGACACUCCAGUUGCACAGGGUCUGGAGACGGAGGACAAAUGCUUGCACAUCGUCCCUUGACGUUGCUUUUUCCCCACCCUAGCGGAGGGGAGCCCCACGACCUCAAGAUGCUUUUGCACAGGCUGUUCCUACAACCUGGGUCCUGAGCUACUCCCCGGGCUUCCGCUGAAUCCCACCUGCCGAGGUGGAAGACAGCCUUAUUGUUACUUAGAAAUGGAGUAUGACGGAGCCCUGGUUCCCUUGCACCUUUCAUUUCUUGCUCCUGAUAAAACUUUUUAUAACAGGAGCAAUCAAAACCC
Molecule: long non-coding RNA, 1457 nt
Filed under: Sus scrofa (pig)
Lineage: Eukaryota; Metazoa; Chordata; Mammalia; Artiodactyla; Suidae
Description: lncRNA (ENSSSCG00015063389.1)
Source: RNAcentral